AUUUCGGAAUUAUCGUUUAAUUAUAAGUGCAUCUGAUGUUGCUGUGUUAUUUUAUGGAGAGUUUCAGGUUCUUUGAGCACCUGAGUUACUUUGUGUGUGUGUUUAUUCGCGUAGCUAAGCCAAAUAUUGUGAAAAAGUGAUGAAAACUGAAGAUGUGUGUAGGCUGCCCACAAGACUUUCCGCAUUAAGACCAAGUUGGCAAAGAAAAUGAAACAGAACAGGCCUAUUCCCCCAUGGAUUAGGAACCGUACUGGAAACAAGAUCAGAUAUAAUGCCAAGCGCCGCCACUGGAGGAGGACUAAGCUCAAGCUGUAAGCUGCUGCUUGAUUGUCCUUUCAUAAAUUCUAGUGGAGAAAUGUGUUAAGGCUAAAGCUAAUAAAACACAGGCUACAA
Molecule: long non-coding RNA, 393 nt
Organism: Penaeus chinensis
Lineage: Eukaryota; Metazoa; Arthropoda; Malacostraca; Decapoda; Penaeidae
Exons: 3
Source: RefSeq, a predicted model, not a curated record